Molecule: ribosomal RNA, 460 nt
Filed under: uncultured bacterium
Lineage: Bacteria
Description: partial 16S ribosomal RNA
Rfam family: Bacterial small subunit ribosomal RNA
Source: RNAcentral
CCUACGGGAGGCAGCAGUGAGGAAUAUUGGUCAAUGGACGAGAGUCUGAACCAGCCAAGUAGCGUGAAGGAUGACUGCUCUAUGGGUUGUAAACUUCUUUUAUAUGGGAAUAAAACAGGGUAUGUAUACCCUCUUGUAUGUACCAUAUGAAUAAGGAUCGGCUAACUCCGUGCCAGCAGCCGCGGUAAUACGGAGGAUUCGAGCGUUAUCCGGAUUUAUUGGGUUUAAAGGGAGCGUAGGUGGAUUGUUAAGUCAGUUGUGAAAGUUUGCGGCUCAACCGAAAAACUGCAGUUGAGACUGGCAGUCUUGAGUACAGUAGAGGUAGGCGGAAUUCAUGGUGUAGCGGUGAAAUGCAUAGAGAUCACAAAGAACACCGAUUGCGAAGGCAGCUCACUGGACUGCAACUGACACUGAUGCUCGAAAGUGUGGGUAGCAAACAGGAUUAGAUACCCCAGUAGUC